UACAGAGGGUGCAAGCGUUAAUCGGAAUUACUGGGCGUAAAGGGUGCGUAGGUGGUUUGGUAAGUUGGGUGUGAAAGUCCUGGGCUUAACCUGGGGAUUGCGCUCAAUACUGUCAAGCUAGAGUACUGUAGAGGAAGGUGGAAUUUCCAGUGUAGCGGUGAAAUGCGUAGAUAUUGGAAGGAACAUCAGUGGCGAAGGCGACUUUCUGGACAGAUACUGACACUGAGGCACGAAAGCGUGGGGAGCAAACAGG
RNAcentral lists this ribosomal RNA (253 nucleotides) under uncultured bacterium. RNAcentral's name for it is "partial 16S ribosomal RNA". It matches the Rfam family "Bacterial small subunit ribosomal RNA", at positions 524 to 776 of the family's 1533-position model. The record is from RNAcentral.